UCGGGAAUUUUGGGCAAUGGGCGCAAGCCUGACCCAGCGACGCCGCGUGAGCGAUGAAGGCCUUCGGGUCGUAAAGCUCUGUCGGGAGGGAAGAUGGGUCGGAGGGCGAAUAGUCCUUCGAUUUGACGGUACCUCCAAAGGAAGCGCCGGCUAACUCCGUGCCAGCAGCCGCGGUAAUACGGAGGGCGCAAGCGUUGUUCGGAAUCACUGGGCGUAAAGCGCGUGUAGGCGGUCGGGCAAGUCGGAUGUGAAAUCCCGGGGCUCAACCUCGGAACUGCAUUCGAAACUGCUCGGCUAGAGUCCCGGAGAGGAUGGCGGAAUUCCCGGUGUAGGGGUGAAAUCCGUAGAUAUCGGGAGGAACACCAGUGGCGAAGGCGGCCAUCUGGACGGUGACUGACGCUGAGACGCGAAAGCGUGGGGAGCAAACAGGAUUAGAUACCCCCGUAGUCC
RNAcentral lists this ribosomal RNA (450 nucleotides) under uncultured prokaryote. Its description in RNAcentral is "bacterial SSU rRNA". It matches the Rfam family "Bacterial small subunit ribosomal RNA", at positions 355 to 796 of the family's 1533-position model. The record is from RNAcentral.